RNAcentral lists this unclassified non-coding RNA (200 nucleotides) under soil metagenome. RNAcentral's name for it is "partial contains internal transcribed spacer 2 and large subunit ribosomal RNA". The record is from RNAcentral.
UGUGGUCGGCUCCUCUCAAAUUAAUCAGCCUCCCAGUGUUUGGUGGCAUCACGGGUGUGAUAAAUAUCUACGCUCGCUGUUGUCUGCCAGGUAACCUUUGGUCACAAAGGUUUGCUGGAGCUCACAGAUGUCUCUCCUCAGCGAGGACAGCUUUUUUAACGUUCGAUCUCAAAUCAGGUAGGACUACCCGCUGAACUUAA